This 408-nucleotide ribosomal RNA is filed under the name uncultured bacterium. RNAcentral's name for it is "partial 16S ribosomal RNA". It matches the Rfam family "Bacterial small subunit ribosomal RNA", at positions 28 to 526 of the family's 1533-position model. The record is from RNAcentral.
GACGAACGCUGGCGGCGUGCUUAACACAUGCAAGUCGAACGAAGUGGCGAACGGGUGAGUAACGCGUAAUCAACCUGCCCUUCAGAGGGGGACAACAGUUGGAAACGACUGCUAAUACCGCAUACUGAAGGAGGGGAUUGCGUCUGAUUAGCUCAUUGGGGGGGUAACGGCCCACCAAGGCGAUGAUCAGUCGCCGGUCGGGAAGGAUGAACGGCCCAAAUGGGACUGGGACACGGCCCAGACUCCUACGGGGGGCAGCAGUGGGGAAUCUUCCGCAAUGGACGAAAGUCUGACGGAGCAACUCCGCGUGAGUGAUGACGGCCUUCGGGUUGUAAAGCUCUGUUAAUCGGGACGCGGUACCGGAAUAGAAAGCCACGGCUAACUACGUGCCAGCAGCCGCGGUAAUUC